This 253-nucleotide ribosomal RNA is filed under the name uncultured bacterium. RNAcentral describes it as "partial 16S ribosomal RNA". It matches the Rfam family "Bacterial small subunit ribosomal RNA", at positions 524 to 776 of the family's 1533-position model. The record is from RNAcentral.
UACAGAGGGUGCGAGCGUUGUUCGGAAUUAUUGGGCGUAAAGAGCUCGUAGGCGGCCUGUUGCGUCCGCUGUGAAAUCCCGGGGCUCAACCCCGGGCGUGCAGUGGAUACGGGCUGGCUGGAGGCAGGCAGGGGAGAACGGAAUUCCUGGUGUAGCGGUGAAAUGCGCAGAUAUCAGGAGGAACACCGGUGGCGAAGGCGGUUCUCUGGGCCUGUACUGACGCUGAGGAGCGAAAGCGUGGGGAGCGAACAGG